RNAcentral lists this ribosomal RNA (477 nucleotides) under uncultured bacterium. RNAcentral's name for it is "partial 16S ribosomal RNA". It matches the Rfam family "Bacterial small subunit ribosomal RNA", at positions 28 to 506 of the family's 1533-position model. The record is from RNAcentral.
GAUGAACGCUAGCGGCAGGCCUAACACAUGCAAGUCGAGGGAGAAGCCCUUUCGGGGGCAGCAACCGGCGCACGGGUGCGUAACGCGUAUGCAACCUACCUUUCACAGGGGGAUAGCCCGAAGAAAUUUGGAUUAAUACCCCAUAAUAUUAUUGGAUGGCAUCAUUUGAUAAUUAAAACUGCGGUGGUGAAAGAUGGGCAUGCGUCCUAUUAGCUAGUUGGAGUGGUAACGGCACCCCAAGGCUACGAUAGGUAGGGGUCCUGAGAGGGAGAUCCCCCCCCCGGGAACGGAGACAGGGGCCCGACUCCACGGGGAGGAAGCAGUGGGGAAGAUUGGGCAAGGGACGGAAGACUAAACCAGCCAGGCCGGGGGAAGAAAGAAGCCUUUGGGGUUUUGAAAUUCCUUUUGUAGGGAAAGAAAAAGGGGUACGUGUCGUUUGAGGAGGGAACCAAUAGAAAAAGAAUGGGCAAACCCCGG